RNAcentral lists this ribosomal RNA (256 nucleotides) under uncultured bacterium. RNAcentral describes it as "partial 16S ribosomal RNA". It matches the Rfam family "Bacterial small subunit ribosomal RNA", at positions 521 to 776 of the family's 1533-position model. The record is from RNAcentral.
UAAUACGUAGGGUGCGAGCGUUGUCCGGAAUUAUUGGGCGUAAAGGGCUCGUAGGCGGUUUGUCACGUCGGGAGUGAAAACUCGGGGCUCAACCCCGAGCUUGCUUCCGAUACGGGCUAACUAGAGGUAUGCAGGGGAGAACGGAAUUCCUGGUGUAGCGGUGAAAUGCGCAGAUAUCAGGAGGAACACCGGUGGCGAAGGCGGUUCUCUGGGCAUUACCUGACGCUGAGGAGCGAAAGUGUGGGGAGCGAACAGG